RNAcentral lists this ribosomal RNA (497 nucleotides) under uncultured bacterium. Its description in RNAcentral is "partial 16S ribosomal RNA". It matches the Rfam family "Bacterial small subunit ribosomal RNA", at positions 28 to 507 of the family's 1533-position model. The record is from RNAcentral.
GAUGAACGCUGGCGGCGUGCCUAAUACAUGCAAGUCGAGCGAACAGACGAGGAGCUUGCUCCUUUGACGUUAGCGGCGGACGGGUGAGUAACACGUGGGUAACCUACCUAUAAGACUGGGAUAACUUCGGGAAACCGGAGCUAAUACCGGAUAAUAUUUCGAACCGCAUGGUUCGAUAGUGAAAGAUGGCUUUGCUAUCACUUAUAGAUGGACCUGCGCCGUAUUAGCUAGUUGGUAAGGUAACGGCUUACCAAGGCAACGAUACGUAGCCGACCUGAGAGGGUGAUGGGCGACGCUGGAACGGAGACACGGUCAAGACUCCAAAGGAAGGCAGCAGUAGGGAAUCUACCGCAAUGGGCGAAAGCCUGACGGAGCAACGCCGCGUGAGUGAUGAAGGUCUUCGGAUCGUAAAACUCUGUUAUUAGGGAAGAAUAGACGUGUAAGUAACUGUGCACGUCUUGACGGUACCUAAUCAGAAAGCCACGGCUAACUACGUG